CAGCUUGCUGUUUCGCUGACGAGUGGCGGACGGGUGAGUAAUGUCUGGGAAACUGCCUGAUGGAGGGGGAUAACUACUGGAAACGGUAGCUAAUACCGCAUAACGUCGCAAGACCAAAGAGGGGGACCUUCGGGCCUCUUGCCAUCGGAUGUGCCCAGAUGGGAUUAGCUUGUUGGUGGGGUAACGGCUCACCAAGGCGACGAUCCCUAGCUGGUCUGAGAGGAUGACCAGCCACACUGGAACUGAGACACGGUCCAGACUCCUACGGGAGGCAGCAGUGGGGAAUAUUGCACAAUGGGCGCAAGCCUGAUGCAGCCAUGCCGCGUGUAUGAAGAAGGCCUUCGGGUUGUAAAGUACUUUCAGCGGGGAGGAAGGGAGUAAAGUUAAUACCUUUGCUCAUUGACGUUACCCGCAGAAGAAGCACCGGCUAACUCCGUGCCAGCAGCCGCGGUAAUACGGAGGGUGCAAGCGUUAAUCGGAAUUACUGGGCGUAAAGCGCACGCAGGCGGUUUGUUAAGUCAGAUGUGAAAUCCCCGGGCUCAACCUGGGAACUGCAUCUGAUACUGGCAAGCUUGAGUCUCGUAGAGGGGGGUAGAAUUCCAGGUGUAGCGGUGAAAUGCGUAGAGAUCUGGAGGAAUACCGGUGGCGAAGGCGGCCCCCUGGACGAAGACUGACGCUCAGGUGCGAAAGCGUGGGGAGCAAACAGGAUUAGAUACCCUGGUAGUCCACGCCGUAAACGAUGUCGACUUGGAGGUUGUGCCCUUGAGGCGUGGCUUCCGGAGCUAACGCGUUAAGUCGACCGCCUGGGGAGUACGGCCGCAAGGUUAAAACUCAAAUGAAUUGACGGGGGCCCGCACAAGCGGUGGAGCAUGUGGUUUAAUUCGAUGCAACGCGAAGAACCUUACCUGGUCUUGACAUCCACGGAAGUUUUCAGAGAUGAGAAUGUGCCUUCGGGAACCGUGAGACAGGUGCUGCAUGGCUGUCGUCAGCUCGUGUUGUGAAAUGUUGGGUUAAGUCCCGCAACGAGCGCAACCCUUAUCCUUUGUUGCCAGCGGUCCGGCCGGGAACUCAAAGGAGACUGCCAGUGAUAAACUGGAGGAAGGUGGGGAUGACGUCAAGUCAUCAUGGCCCUUACGACCAGGGCUACACACGUGCUACAAUGGCGCAUACAAAGAGAAGCGACCUCGCGAGAGCAAGCGGACCUCAUAAAGUGCGUCGUAGUCCGGAUUGGAGUCUGCAACUCGACUCCAUGAAGUCGGAAUCGCUAGUAAUCGUGGAUCAGAAUGCCACGGUGAAUACGUUCCCGGGCCUUGUACACACCGCCCGUCACACCAUGGGAGUGGGUUGCAAAAGAAGUAGGUAGCUUAACCUUCGGGAGGGCGCUUACCACUUUGUGAUUCAUGACUGGGGUGAAGUCGUAACAAGGUAACCGUAGGGGAACCUGCGGUUGGAUCACCUCCUUACCUUAAAGAAGC
Molecule: ribosomal RNA, 1475 nt
Filed under: Escherichia coli
Lineage: Bacteria; Pseudomonadati; Pseudomonadota; Gammaproteobacteria; Enterobacterales; Enterobacteriaceae
Description: bacterial SSU rRNA
Rfam family: Bacterial small subunit ribosomal RNA
Source: RNAcentral